Molecule: small nuclear RNA, 181 nt
Organism: Otolemur garnettii (small-eared galago)
Lineage: Eukaryota; Metazoa; Chordata; Mammalia; Primates; Galagidae
Gene: U2
Rfam family: U2 spliceosomal RNA
About the family: U2 is a small nuclear RNA (snRNA) component of the spliceosome (involved in pre-mRNA splicing). Complementary binding between U2 snRNA (in an area lying towards the 5' end but 3' to hairpin I) and the branchpoint sequence (BPS) of the intron results the bulging out of an unpaired adenosine, on the BPS, which initiates a nucleophilic attack at the intronic 5' splice site, thus starting the first of two transesterification reactions that mediate splicing.
Source: Ensembl
AUCACUCCUCAGCCUCUUGUACUAUUUAUUCUUAUCAGUUUAAUAUCUAAUAUGUCUCCUAUCCGAGGAAAACAUACCAAAUAAAUGGAUUUUUAGAGCUGGAAGACAGGACAGGAGCUUGCUCUGUCCACACCAUGUAUAGUUCUCAUACUGCAGGACCUACAGGAACUGCACACCCCUC